Long non-coding RNA from Ictidomys tridecemlineatus (thirteen-lined ground squirrel), 1590 nucleotides. NCBI's taxonomy places the organism in Eukaryota, Metazoa, Chordata, Mammalia, Rodentia, Sciuridae. The record is from Ensembl.
AUUGAUCUGCCUUUUAACAAGCACCCUGGAUGAUUUUCAGGCACCCAAAUCUUUGGAAAUCACUGAGGUAAGGAACAGGCAGAGGGAGGGAUCAUCUCAAAGGAGACAGAGAAGGAAGGGGAGAGAGAAGAAGAAACCAGCAUAAUUCAAGUUCAUGAAAACCAAAGGAAGAGGUUUCGUGGGAGUAAAAUGUUGCGUGUGUCCAGCGUUUCAGCAAGUCCAGGCAGAGGAAGGACUGAGAAGUGAAUGUCCCUGGAAUCUGGUAACAUGGAAGUACCUUGGUCAGAGCAGUCUGGGGACAGAUGGGACACACACACUGCUAGAGGAGACUGAGGGGUGGAUGGACGUGGGGAGGACGGGAAGGAGAUUUGGACCGUUUUCUCAUAAGUUCGACUGAAUGGGGGGGCGGGGAAAUAAGACAGAAGAAACAAGAAAAUAAGGCAGAGUGUGAAGAAUGGGAAGGAAACGUGCAGAAGGUGCAGAUGGAAGAAGACAGAGCAGAGAGAAGGGGAACCCACCCAGGGAGACCCCUAAGACAGGAGGAGAUCACAGGUUAAGGGGCAAGAGGUGACAUGAGCCUUGGCUGGGAAAAGGCCAUGACAUAAGAACACGUGGUAGACAAUGUCUUUAUGAGUAGAGUUUUGGUAGCGGGAGGUUGGGAUCCCCACUGGACGUUUUCUAUUUUCUCUACAAAGCGGGAAGAGAGCCCACCUGCAAAGAAUGAGCCCAGUGGAGGUUACAGGGAAGGUCUGAAGAGAGAAAAAGCCAUCAAAGCCAGGUCGUGCUAACGACAGCCGCCGUUUCCAUAGGAGGCUACUUGGGCACAGAAUGUAUCGUGGAUUAGAGAUGAUUGUCCGGUCAGUACGGCCUAGGCAGAGACAUGCUCUGCUUUCUACGGUCACCGUGCCUGUGCCCUUAAUUGAAUCUCGAGCUGAGAAGAGAACCAUUGGCAGACAUUCGACUUUCCUUCUCUCAGCACAAGGUCUGAAGAAAUCCUCCCAGUGCCCUGGAGAUGCCCUGCCCCUCAGAGAACCAUUCCUCAGCCUUCGCUGUGACUCUACAGGUAGCUCCAUCUCCUCCCCAGAUGUUCCUCUUAUGAUCCAUUAGAGUUUAAACCAGCUGCAGACACCCAAAAAGCCCAACUGGCAUUAAACAUCAGACUGGACUAGGCCACAGGGCCCAGGUCUGCCCAUUUCCCAGGUGGCCUUUCACAGCCAUUCCUGGACUGGAGAGGACCAGGGGCCAUUGGGACAAGAAUCCAGACAUUUGUCCUGUCCGCACAUCUCCUCCUGUCCCAGUGACACCCCGUCCUGCCAUCACCGAAGUCAAUAGCCCCAGACAGCAUCCCUCCCCACAUACGCGAACUGUUUGAGAAAUUAAUAAAUACGUAACAAAGAGCCCUCUUCACACCGCGAGCAGCAAUGACAACUCUAUAGAGAGAGCCGUCCCCAACGAGAGCUGUGUGUGUGUGUGUCAUGUAAUAUCAGGAAUUAAAAAGCGUCAAAAGAUCAAGUGGGAGGAACAUUAAAUAUGAAUGGGAUGAAAGACACAUUUCUGUGCACGGAAUAAUGACUUUAAUGAGUUUCCUCA